UUUUCUUUAAUUAUUUACUAGAGCAAUUAUGAUCUGGAAGUCGAUCCGGGGCAAGUGUUCGGAUCUAUUAUGACAUAGCCUUGAGACGCUCAACGGACCUUUUAACCUUCUAAAAACCUUUUCGGGCUUUGGAUUGAUCCAAGACAGCCAGGAGGUUUGCCUAGAAGCAGCCACCCUUGAAAGAGUGCGUAAUAGCUCACUGAUCGAGCGCUCUUGCGCCGAAGAUGAACGGGGCUAAGCGAUCUGCCGAAGCUGUGGGAUGUAAAAUACAUCGGUAGGGGAGCGUUCCGCCUUAGAGAGAAGCCUCCGCGCGAGCGGUGGUGGACGAAGCGGAAGCG
Nicotiana attenuata is the source of this 338-nucleotide ribosomal RNA. It matches the Rfam family "Archaeal large subunit ribosomal RNA", at positions 932 to 1377 of the family's 2987-position model. NCBI's taxonomy places the organism in Eukaryota, Viridiplantae, Streptophyta, Magnoliopsida, Solanales, Solanaceae. The record is from Rfam.